Molecule: ribosomal RNA, 422 nt
Filed under: uncultured bacterium
Lineage: Bacteria
Description: bacterial SSU rRNA
Rfam family: Bacterial small subunit ribosomal RNA
Source: RNAcentral
AGGAAUAUUGGUCAAUGGGCGGAAGCCUGAACCAGCCAAGUCGCGUGAGGGAAGACGGUCCUAUGUAUUGUACACUGCUUUUGCAGGGGAGCAAUAUCCGGCACGCUUGCCGGGAGGGAGAGUACCCUGAGACAAAGCAUCGGCUAACGCCGUGCCACCAGCCGCGGUAAUACGGAGGAUGCAAGCGUUAUCCGGAUUUAUUGGGUUUAAAGGGUGCGUAGGCGGACCAGUAAGUCAGCGGUAAAAAUGCGGUGCUCAACGCCGUAGUGCCGUUGAAACUGCAGGUCUUGAGUGAGCGAGAAGUAUGCGGAAUGCGUGGUGUAGCGGUGAAAUGCAUAGAUAUCACGCAGAACUCCGAUUGCGAAGGCAGCAUACCGGCGCUCAACUGACGCUGAGGCACGAAAGCGUGGGGAUCGAACAGG